GGGAAAUUUAUUAAUUGAUCAUGACAUAUAACAUAAAGAAAUAGAAAGAUAACUCAAGGGUAAGAAAAGAAGCACAAAACAACUAAGCACACAGAAUUUCAAUUCCAGAAAUAUCUGUCACAGGACCGAAAGUGUGUUGAGUAAACCCAUCAUAAGCCACAUGUGACCCUUUGAUAUGGUUGAAUUGGACAAUUAAAGCAUCACCAGAUACAUAAUUAUCAACUGAAAAUUCUAUCUUCACUUUCGGAUGCUUAGCUCAUCGGUAUCACAGAAGAAAACUAAACAAGAGUUGGGCAUAAUUUGAAUUUUUGCAGCUAUUUCCUUGCCAUGGCAGAAAAAAAGUUGGCUUUUCUCCAAGUCAAUCUCAUCCCUGUUACCUUGUCACAUAUGAUAAACCAGAAAACCCACCUCUUGUUAUCCAGUGGGUUAAGAUGAUAGAAGUUCCUUCUAAAGGAGGUGAACCAAACACAAGCUAAUAGAAUCACCCCACGAGUGCGUACAGCACUCAAGCCCUUGGAGUUUCAGUGGUCCAACAUUAGACGUAAAUGGGAAAUGAAUUUAAUUCCUAGCUUCUUGAAAUGAUGUCAGCUGGCUUUCCCAUCUAAAUUAGCUUAUUUGCACUUGAUCUAAAAUACGUUUUGAUAAUAACCUAAUGCAUGUGUUUUUGCUGUCUAUCCAUUGACAACGUCACAACUAACUAGAUGAUGCGUAUCGCACAAGAUUCAUAGCAUUCUGAUUCAUCUCAGACCUUUUAGAAAAGAGAGAGGGUAUGAUAACAAUUUUACAGUUGCAGUUCACUUAAAAACUUCUAGUGCAAAAAAGACAAAAUCAGAGAUCAUCACAAGUUUCCUAUUCUGCAAUGAGACAGUUCUCCAAAUUAAAAUGAGGAGGACAAGCCAAAAGAGCAUACAGAUUCAAAGUUAGGCUUUGAAUAUGAACAAAAGAUAUGUCUAUGCCCCAUCUGGCUGCAUGAAAGGGUUGGCAAUUUCAUCUGUCCCUUCAGUUGGUGAGACCAGCAUUACAGCAGUUCCCCUGCAAACCUGCAGCACAAUGAAAUGCAAGUCCAAUUACAUUAUAAAUUUGUACGAGUUUUCACUAACCAAUAACAUGCGAGGGCAUAACCAAAUGAAAAUUAUGCAUUGUGACAAAGCAAGGAAGCUGAUGGUAAAAAACAAGGAUAAUUAUUGUGAAAUUGGACAAAGAUAUAAAAGCAUCAAGGACAAUUCACAACUAACUUUAUGCCACAAUUGGCCAAAAUACAUUUUCAAACCCAUGCAACAGCUCCUUCUCAGUGAAUGCAUAAAUAGUACUACACAAACCCAAAGAAACAUACUAUUAAGCCAAGGCGCCUGGUCUGGCCAGUGGUCUUCAGUGGAUCAUCAGGAUCUCUUAGAUAUUCUAUAGCUUCAUCCAGGACAAGAUUUAACAAUUGAUCAUACCCUUUCAGAGUCCCUGUCACUUGUCUACCACCAGUGAGCUUGACUUGGACACCCUUAUCCACAAAUUUUGCCAAAUCCAACACAGUUUCUUUCCUUCCUGACUGAAGAACAACUACUACACAUUAAAAGGAAAACAAAAUGGAAGAACCACUUAAUCAUUCUAAUUAAAAGACGGAAAAAAAAAGAAUUUAAGUUACCAUCUUUACACAGAAAUCUGAGAACCCUGAAACUGAAUACUGAAAAACGUAAAUGCAUUUGCUAGAACUGAUUUAACGGUGAAAAUCAACAACAAACAAUCAAAUAAGAAAAGAAACAACUGACUUUCGUUUUAGCAGAAAAUUGCAGUGUGCCCUAGCUUGCCUCUUCCCCCUUGCCAGAGACUGCUUCGCCUUUUCCCGCUUGCGCGUAGAAGUUAUUUGGACUCGUUCCCUCUUCUCGCUUUGGCCCAAGGGAGAGGGAGAAGGAGAAGGAAUCCACACCAAAA
Molecule: unclassified non-coding RNA, 1923 nt
Filed under: Hevea brasiliensis (rubber tree)
Lineage: Eukaryota; Viridiplantae; Streptophyta; Magnoliopsida; Malpighiales; Euphorbiaceae
Source: RNAcentral